CCUACGGGUGGCAGCAGUGGGGAAUAUUGGGCAAUGGAGGAAACUCUGACCCAGCAACGCCGCGUGAAUGAUGAAGGUCUUCGGAUUGUAAAGUUCUUUUCUAAGGGAAGAAGAAAAUGACGGUACCUGACUAAGAAGCCCCGGCUAACUACGUGCCAGCAGCCGCGGUAAUACGUAGGGGGCAAGCGUUAUCCGGAUUUACUGGGUGUAAAGGGAGCGUAGACGGCCAGACAAGUCAGAAGUGAAAGCCCAGGGCUCAACCCUGGGACUGCUUUUGAAACUGCCGGGCUGGAGUGCAGGAGAGGUAAGCGGAAUUCCUAGUGUAGCGGUGAAAUGCGUAGAUAUUAGGAGGAACACCAGUGGCGAAGGCGGCUUACUGGACUGUAACUGACGUUGAGGCUCGAAAGCGUGGGGAGCAAACAGGAUUAGAUACCCCUGUAGUC
RNAcentral lists this ribosomal RNA (443 nucleotides) under uncultured bacterium. RNAcentral's name for it is "partial 16S ribosomal RNA". It matches the Rfam family "Bacterial small subunit ribosomal RNA", at positions 338 to 795 of the family's 1533-position model. The record is from RNAcentral.